This 496-nucleotide ribosomal RNA is filed under the name uncultured bacterium. RNAcentral's name for it is "partial 16S ribosomal RNA". It matches the Rfam family "Bacterial small subunit ribosomal RNA", at positions 355 to 861 of the family's 1533-position model. The record is from RNAcentral.
UGGGGAAUAUUGCACAAUGGGCGCAAGCCUGAUGCAGCAACGCCGCGUGAGGGAUGACGGCCUUCGGGUUGUAAACCUCUUUUAGCAGGGAAGAAGCGAAAGUGACGGUACCUGCAGAAAAAGCACCGGCUAACUACGUGCCAGCAGCCGCGGUAAUACGUAGGGUGCAAGCGUUGUCCGGAAUUAUUGGGCGUAAAGAGCUCGUAGGCGGUCUGUCGCGUCUGCUGUGAAAUCCCGAGGCUCAACCUCGGGCCUGCAGUGGGUACGGGCAGACUAGAGUGCGGUAGGGGAGAAUGGAACUCCUGGUGUAGCGGUGGAAUGCGUAGAUAUCAGGAAGAACACCGAUGGCGAAGGCAGUUCUCUGGGCCGUAACUGACGCUGAGGAGCGAAAGCGUGGGGAGCGAACAGGAUUAGAUACCCUGGUAGUCCACGCCGUAAACGUUGGGCGCUAGAUGUGGGGACCAUUCCACGGUUUCCGUGUCGCAGCUAACGCAUU